This 773-nucleotide ribosomal RNA is filed under the name uncultured marine bacterium. RNAcentral describes it as "bacterial SSU rRNA". It matches the Rfam family "Bacterial small subunit ribosomal RNA", at positions 55 to 877 of the family's 1533-position model. The record is from RNAcentral.
AUGCAAGUCGAGCGCACCUUCGGGUGAGCGGCGGACGGGUUAGUAACGCGUGGGAACGUGCCCUUCUCUACGGAAUAGCCAUUGGAAACGAUGAGUAAUACCGUAUACGCCCUUCGGGGGAAAGAUUUAUCGGAGAAGGAUCGGCCCGCGUUAGAUUAGAUAGUUGGUGGGGUAACGGCCUACCAAGUCUACGAUCUAUAGCUGGUUUUAGAGGAUGAUCAGCAACACUGGGACUGAGACACGGCCCAGACUCCUACGGGAGGCAGCAGUGGGGAAUCUUAGACAAUGGGCGCAAGCCUGAUCUAGCCAUGCCGCGUGAGUGAUGAAGGCCUUAGGGUCGUAAAGCUCUUUCGCCAGGGAUGAUAAUGACAGUACCUGGUAAAGAAACCCCGGCUAACUCCGUGCCAGCAGCCGCGGUAAUACGGAGGGGGUUAGCGUUGUUCGGAAUUACUGGGCGUAAAGCGUACGUAGGCGGAUUAGAAAGUUAGGGGUGAAAUCCCGGGGCUCAACCCCGGAACUGCCUCUAAAACUACUAGUCUAGAGUUCGAGAGAGGUGAGUGGAACUCCGAGUGUAGAGGUGAAAUUCGUAGAUAUUCGGAAGAACACCAGUGGCGAAGGCGGCUCACUGGCUCGAUACUGACGCUGAGGUACGAAAGUGUGGGGAGCAAACAGGAUUAGAUACCCUGGUAGUCCACACCGUAAACGAUGAAUGCCAGUCGUCGGAUAGUAUACUAUUCGGUGACACACCUAACGGAUUAAGCAUUCCGCCUGGG